This 339-nucleotide ribosomal RNA is filed under the name Triticum aestivum (bread wheat). Its description in RNAcentral is "partial small subunit ribosomal RNA". Lineage: Eukaryota; Viridiplantae; Streptophyta; Magnoliopsida; Poales; Poaceae. The record is from RNAcentral.
AUGCUGGGCGUCGCGCGGAUGUUGGCGUCGCGGCGUGGUGGAGCGCUGGGCGACUGGGCAGGCGACAGCGCGACUGCUGCGCUUCGGGCGGCGUGGAUGGUGGCGGGGCGCGUGGGGGCGGCUGUGGUGGCGGGGGAGGCCAGGCCAGAUCCGGCCAAUAGCUGCUGCUCGCGGCACGGGCCGUGUGGGGUGAUGCAGGUGGUGCGUGCCUGGUCGCGGCGGCCGGCUGGCUGGCAGGCGACGCGGGCCGAGGGGGCUUCGGCUGGUGGCUACGCCUCGCCUGCGGACUUAGUCCUAGAGUUUAUGGGCUCUGCUUUUUCUUGGCGUGGCUAUGUGUAG